Molecule: ribosomal RNA, 433 nt
Filed under: uncultured bacterium
Lineage: Bacteria
Description: partial 16S ribosomal RNA
Rfam family: Bacterial small subunit ribosomal RNA
Source: RNAcentral
AACGAACGCUGGCGGCAUGCCUAACACAUGCAAGUCGAACGAGACCUUCGGGUCUAGUGGCGCACGGGUGCGUAACGCGUGGGAACCUGCCCUUAGGUUCGGAAUAACUCCCCGAAAGGGGUGCUCAUACCGGAUAAUUUCUUCGGACCAAAGAUUUAUCGCCUUUGGAUGGGCCCGCGUUGGAUUAGCUAGUUGGUAGGGUAAAAGCCUACCAAGGCGACGAUCCAUAGCUGGUCUGAGAGGAUGAUCAGCCACACUGGGACUGAGACACGGCCCAGACUCCUACGGGAGGCAGCAGUGGGGAAUAUUGGACAAUGGGCGAAAGGCUGAUCCAGCAAUGCCGCGUGAGUGAUGAAGGCCUUAGGGUUGUAAAGCUCUUUUACCCGGGAUGAUAAUGACAGUACCGGGAGAAUAAGCUCCGGCUAACUCCGUG